This 94-nucleotide ribosomal RNA is filed under the name Acinetobacter sp. 25977_7. Lineage: Bacteria; Pseudomonadati; Pseudomonadota; Gammaproteobacteria; Moraxellales; Moraxellaceae. The record is from RNAcentral.
UGGCGACCAUAGCAAGAGUGAACCACCUGAUCCCUUCCCGAACUCAGAAGUGAAACCUCUUAGCGCUGAUGGUAGUGUGGGGUUACCCAUGUGA